RNAcentral lists this ribosomal RNA (474 nucleotides) under uncultured bacterium. RNAcentral describes it as "bacterial SSU rRNA". It matches the Rfam family "Bacterial small subunit ribosomal RNA", at positions 28 to 499 of the family's 1533-position model. The record is from RNAcentral.
GAUGAACGCUGGCGGCGUGCCUAAUACAUGCAAGUCGAACGCUUCACAUAUGUGAAGAGUGGCGAACGGGUGAGUAAUACAUAAGUAACCUGGCCUUUACAGGGGGAUAACUAUUGGAAACGAUAGCUAAGACCGCAUAGGUGUGAUAACCGCAUGGAGAUGACAUGAAAUAUGCUACGGCAUAGGUAGAGGAUGGACUUAUGGCGCAUUAGCUAGUUGGAGGGGUAACGGCCCACCAAGGCGACGAUGCGUAGCCGACCUGAGAGGGUGACCGGCCACACUGGGACUGAGACACGGCCCAGACUCCUACGGGAGGCAGCAGUAGGGAAUUUUCGGCAAUGGGGGAAACCCUGACCGAGCAACGCCGCGUGAAGGAAGAAGUAAUUCGUUAUGUAAACUUCUGUCAUAGAGGAAGAACGGUGCGUGUAGGGAAUGACAUGCAAGUGACGGUACUCUAUAAGAAAGCCACGGCUA